Molecule: transfer RNA, 75 nt
Filed under: Candidatus Heimdallarchaeota archaeon
Lineage: Archaea; Promethearchaeati; Candidatus Heimdallarchaeota
Also listed under: 1 other name
Description: tRNA-Cys
Rfam family: tRNA
About the family: Transfer RNA (tRNA) molecules are approximately 80 nucleotides in length. Their secondary structure includes four short double-helical elements and three loops (D, anti-codon, and T loops). Further hydrogen bonds mediate the characteristic L-shaped molecular structure. tRNAs have two regions of fundamental functional importance: the anti-codon, which is responsible for specific mRNA codon recognition, and the 3' end, to which the tRNAs corresponding amino acid is attached (by aminoacyl-tRNA synthetases). tRNAs cope with the degeneracy of the genetic code in two manners: having more than one tRNA (with a specific anti-codon) for a particular amino acid; and 'wobble' base-pairing, i.e. permitting non-standard base-pairing at the 3rd anti-codon position.
Source: RNAcentral
GCGGGGUUAGCAGAGCGGUUUAUGCAGUGGCCUGCAAAGCCAUGGACGGGAGUUCGAAUCUCCCACCCCGCUCCA